Molecule: long non-coding RNA, 202 nt
Filed under: Gossypium barbadense (sea-island cotton)
Lineage: Eukaryota; Viridiplantae; Streptophyta; Magnoliopsida; Malvales; Malvaceae
Description: long non-coding RNA (GBAR_LNC023329)
Source: RNAcentral
GGAAGUGGUCCCUCCAUGUUUACUGUUUGACACAAAUUUCUGAAUGGAGACAAAGUUGGGAUGAUGACACUUGGGGUGCUCUGCACAAUGUGGAGCCGUACAAAUAAUUGAAAUUAAUGAAAAAGCUAUGAAAGAAAAGAGAAAAGGAGACAAAUCCCAUGGAAUCCACAAGGUGUUUUGAUUGAAGUCUUUCUAAACCUUC